RNAcentral lists this ribosomal RNA (468 nucleotides) under uncultured bacterium. RNAcentral describes it as "partial 16S ribosomal RNA". It matches the Rfam family "Bacterial small subunit ribosomal RNA", at positions 28 to 507 of the family's 1533-position model. The record is from RNAcentral.
GACGAACGCUGGCGGCGUGCUUAACACAUGCAAGUCGAACGGAAAGGCCCUGCUUUUGUGGGGUGCUCGAGUGGCGAACGGGUGAGUAACACGUGAGUAACCUGCCCUUGACUUUGGGAUAACUUCAGGAAACUGGGGCUAAUACCGGAUAGGAGCUCCUGCUGCAUGUUGUGGGUUGGAAAGUUUCGGCUGUUGGGGAUGGACUCGCGGCUUAUCAGCUGGUUGGUGGGGUAGUGGCUUACCAAGGCUUUGACGGGUAGCCGGCCUGGGAGGGUGACCGGCCACAUUGGGACUGAGAUACGGACCAGAAUCCUACGGGAGGCAGCAGUGGGGAAUAUUGCACAAUGGGCGGAAGCCUGAUGCAGAAACGCCGCGUGCGGGAUGAUGGCCUUCGGGUUGUAAACCGCUUUCGAAUGUGACGAAGCGUGAGUGACGGUAAUGGGUAAAGAAGCACCGGCUAACUACGUG